This 45-nucleotide non-coding RNA is filed under the name Schistosoma mattheei. Lineage: Eukaryota; Metazoa; Platyhelminthes; Trematoda; Strigeidida; Schistosomatidae. The record is from RNAcentral.
AUCCAGCUGACGAGUCUUAAAUAAGACGAAACGUGCAUCCUGAAU